CCUACGGGAGGCAGCAGUGAGGAAUAUUGGUCAAUGGCCGGAAGGCUGAACCAGCCAUGCCGCGUGCAGGUCAGUGCCCUAUGGGCGUUAAACUUCUUUUGUGCGGGAGCAAUAAUGGUCACGUGUGGCCAGACGAGAGAACCGUACGAAUAAGCAUCGGCUAACUACGUGCCAGCAGCCGCGGUAAUACGGGGGAUGCAAGCGUUGUCCGGAUUUAUUGGGUUUAAAGGGUGCGUAGGCUGUGAGGUAAGUCAGCGGUGAAAUGCCCCCGCGCAACGGGGUGAAGUGCCAUUGAUACUGCCUGGCUGGAAUGCGGAUGCCGUGGGAGGAAUGUGUGGUGUAGCGGUGAAAUGCAUAGAUAUCACACAGAACACCGAUUGCGAAGGCAUCUCACGAAUCCGCGAUUGACGCUGAUGCACGAAAGCGUGGGUAUCAAACAGGAUUAGAUACCCCUGUAGUC
This 460-nucleotide ribosomal RNA is filed under the name uncultured bacterium. RNAcentral describes it as "partial 16S ribosomal RNA". It matches the Rfam family "Bacterial small subunit ribosomal RNA", at positions 338 to 795 of the family's 1533-position model. The record is from RNAcentral.